This 71-nucleotide transfer RNA is filed under the name Marmota monax (woodchuck). RNAcentral describes it as "tRNA.Ala". Lineage: Eukaryota; Metazoa; Chordata; Mammalia; Rodentia; Sciuridae. The record is from RNAcentral.
GGGGUUGUGGCUCAGAGGUAGAGCACUUACCUAGCAUACAUGAGGCACUGGGUUCGAUCCUCAGCACCACA